CGCACCUUGCGCUCCUUGGUAUUCCGAGGAGCAUGCCUGUUUGAGUGUCAUGAAUUCCUCAACUUACAAGCCUUUGUGGUUUGUAGGGUUGGGCUUUGGAGGUGUUUGUCGGCUUGGCAGUCGGCUCCUCUUAAAUGCAUGAGUUCAGUUCCUUGUGGAUCGGCUCUCAGUGUGAUAAUGUCUAUGCUGUGACCGUGAAGCAUCUGGCGAGCUUUCUAACUGUCCCUUGUUUGGACAACUUAUUGACCUCUGACCUCAAAUCAGGUAGGACUACCCGCUGAACUUAA
This 287-nucleotide unclassified non-coding RNA is filed under the name Hornodermoporus martius. RNAcentral describes it as "partial contains 5.8S ribosomal RNA, internal transcribed spacer 2, and large subunit ribosomal RNA". Lineage: Eukaryota; Fungi; Basidiomycota; Agaricomycetes; Polyporales; Polyporaceae. The record is from RNAcentral.